GAUGAACGCUGGCGGCGUGCCUAAUACAUGCAAGUCGAGCGAACGGACGAGAAGCUUGCUUCUCUGAUGUUAGCGGCGGACGGGUGAGUAACACGUGGAUAACCUACCUAUAAGACUGGGAUAACUUCGGGAAACCGUAGCUAAUACCGGAUAAUAUUUUGAACCGCAUGGUUCAAAAGUGAAAGACGGUCUUGCUGUCACUUAUAGAUGGAUCCGCGCUGCAUUAGCUAGUUGGUAAGGUAACGGCUUACCAAGGCAACGAUGCAUAGCCGACCUGAGAGGGGGAGCGGGCAACAUUGAACUGAAACACGGUCCAGGCUCCUAAGGGAGGCAGCAGUAGGGAAUCUUCCGCAAUUGGCGGAAGCCUGACGGAGCAACGCCGAGUGGGUGAUGAAGGUCUUCGGAUCGUAAAACUCUGUUAUUAGGGAAGAACAUAUGUGUAAGUAACUGUGCACAUCUUGACGGUUCCUAAUCAGAAAGCCACGGCUAACUACGUG
RNAcentral lists this ribosomal RNA (497 nucleotides) under uncultured bacterium. RNAcentral describes it as "partial 16S ribosomal RNA". It matches the Rfam family "Bacterial small subunit ribosomal RNA", at positions 28 to 507 of the family's 1533-position model. The record is from RNAcentral.